This 369-nucleotide long non-coding RNA is filed under the name Salvia miltiorrhiza (redroot sage). RNAcentral's name for it is "long non-coding RNA (SMIL_LNC001196)". Lineage: Eukaryota; Viridiplantae; Streptophyta; Magnoliopsida; Lamiales; Lamiaceae. The record is from RNAcentral.
AUAAUAUGAGAAUUUAUUAAAAGAAUUGAGGUUCUAGGUAAGGUCUGAGUUAGAUGUAGAAGAGUUCGACCUUACAAUCAAAAGGUUUGGUGAUUAUGUCAAAAGAAAUGUGAUUCCACACAACUGGUACCACCACUAAUCUAAUAACAUAUGCAGUCAAUUGCUCUCUCGUGAAUUUCUUGUGAUAGCUUCCUCAAUAUUGUUCUCAUGAUCUUCUUACGACGUCAAUGGCCUUGGCUUGGUGCUCUUGGUCAGCUGCGGAAAAUCGUUGAUCACAAUUCUUGGGCAUGUGUUGGUUGUCCCUAUAUUCCAUUCAUUAGAAAGGUGCCGCACGAGCCUCGUUGAUGAUUCGAUAUCUAAUACUCUUCC